Molecule: long non-coding RNA, 2419 nt
Organism: Gorilla gorilla gorilla (western lowland gorilla)
Lineage: Eukaryota; Metazoa; Chordata; Mammalia; Primates; Hominidae
Exons: 4
Source: RefSeq, a predicted model, not a curated record
UAUAUAUGUAUAUAAAGUCUAGUGACACUGCUCCAUUUCUCCUGUUAUUAAUCUAGUCCAUGCACUCAUGAUUUCUACCUGGUCUUUACAAUACUUUCUGACAGUAUAGCCAGUCUGCACUGAGCUGGAGAGUAAAAUGUAAUGGUCCAGCACAUGGAACUCUGGAGAGCUCAUCUGCCUGGAUUGGAAUUCUUAAACUCCAGCUCUGACACCCAAUAGCUAUGUGUCCUUGGGCAAGUGACUUAAUUUCUCUGUGCUCAGGUACCUUCUCUGUAAAACAGGGAGAAAUAAGAGCACCUACCUCUUGAAGUUGUGAGGAUUAAAUGAGCCUUGAGCCAAACAUGUGAAGUGCAUGGAACAAUGCCUGGUGUACAGUAAAAACUGUCUAAGUAUUAGUCAUCAUUAUUAUUGUCAUCUGUCUCUCCACAUCCAGUUUUCCCCUUCCUGAAAAUGGUUUAUAUAUAUUUUACAAGCUUUAUUUUGAAAUAACUUUGGAUUUGCAAUAGAGUUGCAAAAAUGGUACAGAGUUUUCAUAUGCCCUUCAUUCAUCUUCCCUGAAUGUUAACAUCUUAUAGAACCAUGGUACAUCUAUCAAAACUAAGAAAUUAGUGUUAGUAUAAUACUAUUAACUGAACUACAGAAUUUAUUCAGAUUUCCCCAGGUUUUUUCCCACUAAUGUCUAUAUUUUGUUCCACAAUUUAAUCCAGGAUACAACAUUACAUUUAGUAGUGGAUUAUUUUCAGAUGCAAAUGGUCAAGUUGCAAUGCCCAGGAACAAUUUCUUGGCCUGCCAGACUCUGAGACCAGUGUCAAGUCCUCAACAAGGCCUAAGGGGCCCAUGCCUGCUUCCGCAGCCUCAUCUCACCCUGCUCUGAGGCUUCGAGGAGGAGCCACUGGGAUUUCCAAUCAUCCCCUGCUAUAGACUUUGCAUACUUGGGACCACUUUCGUGAUGGUUUAUAGUGCCUGAUUCACUCCCCAUUAGACUGUCAGCUCCUCCAGGGCAGGGAUCAUGUUGCUGUUGUUCUCUGCUAUAUCUCUAGCACCUAGAACAUGCCUGGUACCUGACAGGCUUGUAAUGAAAAUGUGUUGAUUAACUCACAUCCUGUGCCACUUUCUGCCAAUCACUUCCCCUCUCUGGACCUCAGUUUUCUCAUCUGCAGACUGAGGAGUUUAAUUUGUUCACUGGUUUUCCAGUUGUGUUUUGGAAACCCUAGAAUUUCCUGGGCUCAACAGGAGCCACAUUUAAAGAGCAUAUGUUUUCAUGUGCUUGAAAAUUGGGCUUCUGAGAAAGAUAUCUCUUAAUGGAUUUUGAAGAUUCUGCUGCUUAAAAAGGUUUGAAAACAUGACAGAUUAUUGUAUAUUAUGAAUUACAUAUAGUUGCAUGAUUUUACAACUCCAUUAUUAUUUAUUUAUUUAUUUAUUUUUGCAGGCAGUGGGGAGCCAUGGAAAGUUUCUGAACAGAGAAGCACUUAUUGGGAACUGUCAGAGCUAUGCUUCAGGAGAUGAAUCUGGCAACAACGUGGGUUAAUAUUAAUGCCCUGUACAUCCUGAGUACAUGUUUCCAGAAAGAGGUGAUCCAGGAGGCUGCCAAGUGGCCUGCAGGUGACAUCCAGAGGGCAGAAAAUGCCCAUGCAGGUCCAUGUGUGGGUCCUUAAGCCCCUUGAGGAAAAGGGAGGAGAAAAGGACAAAGAAGGCUCUCCCUUUACCUUGGAUCCCCUUCUGCUCCCACAUGCCUAGUGGGAGCCUCCCUCUUCUGCUUGAGCCUUCAGGACAGGUUCAGGACCCUGUCUCCUACCUGGCUGGGCCAGAAAUGAGGAACAUGUUGCAAGCCCUCCUCCACCUGACUUGCCAAGUCCAUACAGGCUGGGGCCUUAGAUCCAACAACUUAGAAAGGGUGCCCACACUCCUGUUCUUUAGAAGAAAGGGACGGCAGGAGUCUGAUCAUCUGUCUGAUGCCCACACAGUGGCUGUGCUGAGUGACGUGUUGUUUUGAGGAUGUCCCUACCCCCUGGUCUUGCCGUCGGUCUCCAGUACCCAGCGAAGCAAGCUGUGGGCUCUGAGGAGCUCACACCAGGGAGGAGCUGCCCUGGAGUGGAGCAACAGCCUGUCUUCUCCCCUGUGUGACUGCAGUGCUAUAAUAAUAAUAACAGAAAGCUGGCAUUUCUUGAGCUCUUACUGUGUGCCAGAGACACCGCUCUAAGUGCUUACACAUAUGUAUUCGUUUUCUGUAGCUGCUGUAACAAAUUAUCACAAACUUUAAACAUUGAACUUAUGGCAUAAAGCAACACAAAUGUAUUAUCGUGUAGCUCUGUGGUAGGUUAGGAGUCUGACACAAGUCUCACUGGGCUAACAAUCCAGAUGUUGGGGCCAGGCGCGGUGGCUCACGCCUGUAAUCCCAGCAUUUUGAGAGGCCGAGAGG